UUUCAGACCGGNGUAAGCCAGGUCAGUUUCUAUCUUCUAAUAAAUAUUAUAUAGUNCGAAAGGACCUAUAAUUAUAAUUAAAUUAUUUAUUUAGCAAAUAAAUGCAUUAAAUUUAGAAUUUAAUUAACCUAAAUUAUCUUUUUUUUACUAAACUUUUUAAUU
Molecule: ribosomal RNA, 162 nt
Filed under: Cyrba algerina
Lineage: Eukaryota; Metazoa; Arthropoda; Arachnida; Araneae; Salticidae
Description: partial 16S ribosomal RNA
Source: RNAcentral